This 1112-nucleotide long non-coding RNA is filed under the name Oreochromis niloticus (Nile tilapia). Its description in RNAcentral is "lncRNA (ENSONIG00000032286.1)". Lineage: Eukaryota; Metazoa; Chordata; Actinopteri; Cichliformes; Cichlidae. The record is from RNAcentral.
UCGGUAACACUUACACACACUUGGCUGCUAAAUGAAUGUGUUGUCACACCAUAACUGUUUCGUUCUUGUGAAAGUAUUGCCAGCAUCAACUAGUCUAACGGUCAUCGACCAAUCAAAUUCAAGGGUCAUGUCUGUGUUCUCCCACAGAAAAUGAUCGAACACGAACAACAUGCUGCUUCAGACACUGAUCCUCCCGGUGGAAGUGCACCUUCUUUCCCUCCUUUGGAAGAUUAUUAAGGACAUCUAUUCUUUCAUUUCCUUACCCAAUAGAAGAGAGUUUGAGUUGUGCUUUCUCCAAGAAGCCCCCUUGCAAUGGUUUUUGGAAAUUCAUCAUGCCAACUUAAAUCAUCCUAAGUGGAAGGAAUGGUCUGUAGAAUCUCCAGUGCAGCUAGAAGUCACAACAAUUGUGGUGAAAUUUUGGACAGGAAGAGUUCCAGACCAGGAUAUUGAACUCUACCUACAAAGGUACUGUCUUACAACCUCCUGUUAAGCCGGUUGAUAAAUUCGGCUUAUGGUAUGAAGUGAGAAAAUUCAAGGUACGAAUGCGGAGAGAUGAAGCAGGUCAUAUUGUUUCCAUCCCUAACUCCAUCUCUCUGGGCCCUUUUAAUGGGCGUAUCAUAUAUCCUGGACAGGCAAACAGAUGUUUCGUCACUAGACCAUCAAGCAAGAGACUGCCUUACCUUUAAGUGCUGCAAGUGCGGGGAGUUGGGUCAUAAAGCUAAAGAAUGUCAAAAUGACAGCGAGUGUUCCCUGUGUGGACCAAAGGGACCUCCUCAGCGCUGCCAGAAGCCUUAAAUUCAACCUCGCUACAAAAAAUGCUCACAUUUGGAAAUUAAUCCUUAACAAAUCCACUUGUGGUCUCUGAAGCUAUUUCAGGACAAGAACCUAGCAGUCGUACCUCAACAAAUCUUCCUGGUGCAACAGAGUCGCAGACAGACAACAACAACAUAGAGGAGGAACUGACGCCCCCAACACAACAUGAAGAGAUAACAGCAUGAAGUAGAGAAGAGCCAGAGGAUCAGUUCUUGUCAGAAACCUCUGAGGUGGAAUGCGAGAGUGAAGACGAGGAAGAAGUUUUAUCAGAAAGCUACAUAAGCGCAAGUGGUAGUGAA